GCCUGAUGCAGCCAUGCCGCGUGUGUGAAGAAGGCUUUCGGGUUGUAAAGCACUUUCAGCGAGGAGGAAAGGUUGUACUUUAAUAGAGUGCAGCUGUGACGUUACUCGCAGAAGAAGCACCGGCUAACUCCGUGCCAGCAGCCGCGGUAAUAAUCACU
RNAcentral lists this ribosomal RNA (158 nucleotides) under uncultured Gammaproteobacteria bacterium. RNAcentral's name for it is "partial 16S ribosomal RNA". It matches the Rfam family "Bacterial small subunit ribosomal RNA", at positions 381 to 529 of the family's 1533-position model. Lineage: Bacteria; Pseudomonadati; Pseudomonadota; Gammaproteobacteria. The record is from RNAcentral.